AACUUUUGGCAACGGAUCUCUUGGCUCUCGCAUCGAUGAAGAACGCAGCGAAGCGCGAAAUGUAGUGUGAAUCGCAGAGCAUUGUGAAUCAUCGAAUCUUUGAACGCACAUUGCGCCUCUUGUAGCAGAGAGGCAUGCCUGCCUGAGCGUCAGUAAACCCCCAUGCCCCACCGAGCCCUGGUUUGGGCUCGGAGCGGCGUUUUGGGCCCCAUUUGUCGCGGGGAUCGGGCUAUGGCCCCUCCCCCGUGUGGCCUUGAAGAGAUUGACAUCUGUCUGUGGGCGCGAGAUCCGUUAGGACUGAGCCCUUUGGGACGGAGGGACGUGCGAGCGCUGUGGCGCUGAAAAUGUUGACCUCAGGUCAUGUAGGGCCACCGCCUGAACUUAAGCACAUCAAUAAGCGGAGGCU
RNAcentral lists this unclassified non-coding RNA (406 nucleotides) under uncultured Ascomycota. RNAcentral's name for it is "sequence contains ITS2". The stretch from base 1 to 152 matches the Rfam family "5.8S ribosomal RNA". The record is from RNAcentral. Lineage: Eukaryota; Fungi; Ascomycota.